CCUACGGGAGGCAGCAGUGGGGAAUUUUGGACAAUGGGCGCAAGCCUGAUCCAGCAAUGCCGCGUGCAGGAUGAAGGCCUUCGGGUUGUAAACUGCUUUUGUACGGAACGAAACGGUGAGCUCUAAUACAGUUUGCUAAUGACGGUACCGUAAGAAUAAGCACCGGCUAACUACGUGCCAGCAGCCGCGGUAAUACGUAGGGUGCGAGCGUUAAUCGGAAUUACUGGGCGUAAAGCGUGCGCAGGCGGUGAUGUAAGACAGAUGUGAAAUCCCCGGGCUCAACCUGGGACCUGCAUUUGUGACUGCAUCGCUAGAGUACGGUAGAGGGGGAUGGAAUUCCGCGUGUAGCAGUGAAACUGCGUAGAUAUGCGGAGGAACACCGAUGGCGAAGGCAAUCCCCUGGACCUGUACUGACGCUCAUGCACGAAAGCGUGGGGAGCAAACAGGAUUAGAUACCCUGGUAGUCCACGCCCUAAACCGAUGUCAACUGGUUGUUGGGUCUUCACUGACUCAGUAACGAAGCUAACGCGUGAAGUUGACCGCCUGGGGAGUACGGCCGCGAAGGUUGAAACUUAAAGGAAUUGACGG
This 588-nucleotide ribosomal RNA is filed under the name uncultured bacterium. RNAcentral describes it as "bacterial SSU rRNA". It matches the Rfam family "Bacterial small subunit ribosomal RNA", at positions 338 to 916 of the family's 1533-position model. The record is from RNAcentral.